Molecule: long non-coding RNA, 550 nt
Filed under: Fragaria vesca (wild strawberry)
Lineage: Eukaryota; Viridiplantae; Streptophyta; Magnoliopsida; Rosales; Rosaceae
Description: long non-coding RNA (FVES_LNC000402)
Source: RNAcentral
AGAGAGAGAGAGGUGAAAUUAGAGAGGAGGGUAUAAUGGUCAUGUAAAAAGUGUGAAAAUAGAUCUUUUAAUCAUUUAAGAUGUUAUAAGGUGGCUAUUUUAUCAUGUAACAUGUUUUAAUGUUGAAUUUUUUAUUAUCUGGAAUAUUUAAAGACUUUUUUAUCAUUUAUACCUUUAAAUGGUAGUUUAGUGUUAUAUACCCAAUUAUAUUCAAUCUUAAUCAAUUUCAUCCUGAUUUUUUCUUUGCUUUAAAUUUAUAUUCAUGACUUCAAUGUGUGUGUGUAUAUAUAUUCAUUACAAAACUAUUCGAUUUGUAAAAAAGUUUGAGUUCUUAUUCUUCUUCAUAUGUUUUUGGUGUCGGCCUCUCUACAAUUUCCAGCAUAUUUUUUGUUGUAUUAUACUCGAAAAAUGUUUAAUUGUAAGGUACAUGUUCUUAUUCUUUGAUUAAUUUCUUCUUCUUUUUAGGUAUAUUAUUAUAUCAUUCUCAUCAUGAUCGAGAGAACUCUUACUCUCAACUAUUUACAUUUUUAAUGAACCUACUAAAUAGGGC